GAAUAUCAUUUUCUAAUCUAAAUAAUAAAAAAGAUAUUCUUGACCUUGACAGUGAUCUAUGUUGUAUAUGUAAAUCCUAGAUGUAAAAAUCGGCAGAAUUUUCCCAAUAAAAAGAAAAAUUGGUAAAAAUGAUAUGCUAAGUAUAAAUCCUAUGCUGAGAAAAUAAAAAAAGAAGGACCAAUGAGAUAGAAAAACGGAAUCAUAAACAAAGUUCAGGUUCUAAUU
Molecule: long non-coding RNA, 225 nt
Filed under: Lathyrus oleraceus (garden pea)
Lineage: Eukaryota; Viridiplantae; Streptophyta; Magnoliopsida; Fabales; Fabaceae
Description: Pisum sativum (pea) long non-coding RNA (PSAT_LNC036024)
Source: RNAcentral